GAGAGAUAGCGUUUAAGUGGAAGUAAGAAAGAGGGAAAGUGUGAGAGAGAGAGAGAGAGAGAGAGGGAGAGAAAAGCCUGCUCGGGCGAGCAAUCAGCUUCUCUCUGUAGACUCCAGCUGAUCAGAGUUUACUGAGACACACACACACACACACACACACACACACACACACACACUCAACUCUUCAGCACAGUGAGUCAUCACUAACGUGGGCACUGGAGCUUCACACACACACACACACACACACACACCGCUGCAGCAGCACGAGGGUUUCGCACGGGACCCGGCCAGGGUAACAGCACACACACUCACACGCUCUCACACACACUCGGGUGUUGGGAUGGAGUGGAAGCAUGUGGAGGCGGUGCAGGAGUUCACAGCUGAAGGACAAUGCAGCAAAAUCCACGUCCGCUCCUGCAGAAUAACGUGGGACGCUCCCCAGGUGGGGACUCCGCGGGUGGAGAUGACUCUGUCGGAGCUUCAGGAGAUGGCCAUUCGGCAGCAGCAGCAGAUAGAAGCUCAACAGCAGAUGCUGGUCACAAAGGUAAACCCCGCCUUUAACUGUUCAUCUAUACCAUUAAACUAGACCUUCUAAAAUUGUUUUUAAGUGUGUUUUUGAGAAAUGGAUGCAUUUAUACUGCUAAAAAGUGGCUUAAGUGUGUCUCAGACCAUCUCCUGAAGUGAUUCAAGAGAUUGGAUUUGUAUCUGGUUUAAAUGCAUCUCAGACCACCACCAUUAGGGUUUUGAGUGUUUGCAUUUGUAUUUGGUUUAUUUGCGUCGUAAACCACCUCCUAGUGUUUUGAAUGAUUGAAUUUGUAUAUAUUUUUUAAGUGCGUCUCAGAGCAUCUCCUGAAGUGAUUUGAGUGACUAGAUGUGUAAGAGUUACUGCUGUAAAUGGUGUAAAGGCGUAAAUACUGAUACUCAGUGGUUUUGUACAGUAGUGCUGUGUUGUUUGUGCUGUGAAUGUGUUGCUAAGCGGUUGGUCGAUUUGCUUGUCAGCUGAACAGGACUGUUCAAUCAGAGUCUGCAGUUUUAGACACCUGGUCUGGAUGUAGAAGCUGCAUUUCAGCACAGUGUUUCAGUAGAAUUAUUUUAUUCUGUGUUGUUUUUCCACACUAAUAAAGUACAUUAAGUUUCCA
This 1139-nucleotide long non-coding RNA is filed under the name Astyanax mexicanus (Mexican tetra). Its description in RNAcentral is "lncRNA (ENSAMXG00005011263.1)". The record is from RNAcentral. Lineage: Eukaryota; Metazoa; Chordata; Actinopteri; Characiformes; Acestrorhamphidae.